GGAGGAAUACCCAAGUCCGGCUGAAGGAUCGGUCUUGAAACCGACAGGGUGUUAAAGCCCGCGGGGGUUCGAAUCCCUCUUCCUCCGCCA
This 90-nucleotide transfer RNA is filed under the name Priestia megaterium. RNAcentral's name for it is "Bacillus megaterium tRNA-OTHER". It matches the Rfam family "tRNA". Rfam says of the family: Transfer RNA (tRNA) molecules are approximately 80 nucleotides in length. Their secondary structure includes four short double-helical elements and three loops (D, anti-codon, and T loops). The record is from RNAcentral. Lineage: Bacteria; Bacillati; Bacillota; Bacilli; Caryophanales; Bacillaceae.